This 376-nucleotide ribosomal RNA is filed under the name uncultured bacterium. RNAcentral describes it as "bacterial SSU rRNA". It matches the Rfam family "Bacterial small subunit ribosomal RNA", at positions 524 to 898 of the family's 1533-position model. The record is from RNAcentral.
GACGGAGGGUGCAAGCGUUGUUCGGAUUGACUGGGCGUAAAGGGCGUGUAGGCGGUUGGUCAAGUCUGAUGUGAAAGCCCGGGGCUCAGCCCCGGAAGGGCAUCGGAAACUAGCCAGCUGGAGCGCGAUAGAGGAGGGUGGAAUUCCUGGUGUAGCGGUGAAAUGCGUAGAUAUCAGGAGGAACACCGGCGGCGAAGGCGGCCCUCUGGAUCGUUGCUGACGCUGAGACGCGAAAGCGUGGGGAGCAAACAGGAUUAGAUACCCUGGUAGUCCACGCUGUAAACUAUGGGUACUAGGUGUUCGGGGUAUUGACCCCCUGAGUGCCGCAGUUAACGCAUUAAGUACCCCGCCUGGGGACUACGGCCGCAAGGUUAAA